UGGGGUUUUGGCUCAGUGGUAGAGUGCUUGCUUAGCACGUGUGAGGCACUGGGUUCGAUUUCCAGCACCACAU
Molecule: transfer RNA, 73 nt
Filed under: Marmota monax (woodchuck)
Lineage: Eukaryota; Metazoa; Chordata; Mammalia; Rodentia; Sciuridae
Description: tRNA.Ala
Source: RNAcentral